Molecule: ribosomal RNA, 636 nt
Filed under: Triticum aestivum (bread wheat)
Lineage: Eukaryota; Viridiplantae; Streptophyta; Magnoliopsida; Poales; Poaceae
Description: partial small subunit ribosomal RNA
Source: RNAcentral
AUGGCUUGGCACUACGAAAAGAAUGGAGUUUUCUCAGUAAAAAGUGCAUAUAAGUUGGUUGCUUCCAUCCAAGGCCAUGUACUCCAGGAACCAUCUGGCUGGUCAAGCGAAGCUCAAGACAGGAGUAUCUGGAACAUCAUUUGGAAGUCCAGGGUCCCUCAAAAAAUCAGAAUUCUUGGGUGGAGAAUUGCCACAAAAUCCCUAGCUACAAAAAAUAAUAAAUUCAGAUGGACACAUGAAUUGGACGCAAUUUGCAAUAUCUGCGGCUCUGGAGAAGAAGACGAGUUCCAUGUCGUAGUUGAAUGCACUAAAAGCAGAGCUUUAAGAGAGGCAAUGAGAGAAGAAUGGGACCUCCCACCUGAAAUAGCUUUCCCGCGCACUGGCCCGGAUCGGCUACACAUGCUUCUCUGUCAGGAAACCGACGAUAUGAGGGGGAGACUUCUUAUGUUAUUCUGGAGAUGUUGGCAUAUUUGAGAUGAUUGUGUGCAUGGGAAAGGUAAAGAAUCCACCAGACAAUCUGUACUGUUUUUAUUGCAGUACAAGGAAGACCUGAGAAAUGCUACUCUGAACAAUUCCCCGGAGUCGGGUAAAGAGGUGUGGUCGCUGACCAAUCACAUGUCUAACAUGCCGGAAUGA